This 828-nucleotide ribosomal RNA is filed under the name Escherichia coli. RNAcentral describes it as "bacterial SSU rRNA". It matches the Rfam family "Bacterial small subunit ribosomal RNA", at positions 1 to 811 of the family's 1533-position model. RNAcentral also lists the same sequence under 1 other name. Lineage: Bacteria; Pseudomonadati; Pseudomonadota; Gammaproteobacteria; Enterobacterales; Enterobacteriaceae. The record is from RNAcentral.
UUUAUGGAGAGUUUGAUCCUGGCUCAGGAUGAACGCUGGCGGCGUGCCUAAUACAUGCAAGUCGAGCGAACGGACGAGAAGCUUGCUUCUCUGAUGUUAGCGGCGGACGGGUGAGUAACACGUGGAUAACCUACCUAUAAGACUGGGAUAACUUCGGGAAACCGGAGCUAAUACCGGAUAAUAUUUUGAACCGCAUGGUUCAAAAGUGAAAGACGGUCUUGCUGUCACUUAUAGAUGGAUCCGCGCUGCAUUAGCUAGUUGGUAAGGUAACGGCUUACCAAGGCAACGAUGCAUAGCCGACCUGAGAGGGUGAUCGGCCACACUGGAACUGAGACACGGUCCAGACUCCUACGGGAGGCAGCAGUAGGGAAUCUUCCGCAAUGGGCGAAAGCCUGACGGAGCAACGCCGCGUGAGUGAUGAAGGUCUUCGGAUCGUAAAACUCUGUUAUUAGGGAAGAACAUAUGUGUAAGUAACUGUGCACAUCUUGACGGUACCUAAUCAGAAAGCCACGGCUAACUACGUGCCAGCAGCCGCGGUAAUACGUAGGUGGCAAGCGUUAUCCGGAAUUAUUGGGCGUAAAGCGCGCGUAGGCGGUUUUUUAAGUCUGAUGUGAAAGCCCACGGCUCAACCGUGGAGGGUCAUUGGAAACUGGAAAACUUGAGUGCAGAAGAGGAAAGUGGAAUUCCAUGUGUAGCGGUGAAAUGCGCAGAGAUAUGGAGGAACACCAGUGGCGAAGGCGACUUUCUGGUCUGUAACUGACGCUGAUGUGCGAAAGCGUGGGGAUCAAACAGGAUUAGAUACCCUGGUAGUCCACGCCGUAAACGAUG